RNAcentral lists this ribosomal RNA (497 nucleotides) under uncultured bacterium. RNAcentral describes it as "partial 16S ribosomal RNA". It matches the Rfam family "Bacterial small subunit ribosomal RNA", at positions 28 to 507 of the family's 1533-position model. The record is from RNAcentral.
GAUGAACGCUGGCGGCGUGCCUAAUACAUGCAAGUCGAGCGAACAGAUGAGGAGCUUGCUCCUCUGACGUUAGCGGCGGACGGGUGAGUAGCACGUGGAUAACCUACCUAUAAGACUGGGAUAACUUCGGGAAACCGGAGCUAAUACCGGAUAAUAUAUUGAACCGCAUGGUUCAAUAGUGAAAGACGGUUUUGCUGUCACUUAUAGAUGGAUCCGCGCCGCAUUAGCUAGUUGGUAAGGUAACGGCUUACCAAGGCAACGAUGCGUAGCCGACCUGAGAGGGUGAUCGGCCACACUGGAACUGAGACACGGUCCAGACUCCUACGGGAGGCAGCAGUAGGGAAUCUUCCGCAAUGGGCGAAAGCUUGACGGAGCAACGCCGCGUGAGUGAUGAAGGUCUUCGGAUCGUAAAACUCUGUUAUUAGGGAAGAACAAAUGUGUAAGUAACUAUGCACGUCUUGACGGUACCUAAUCAGAAAGCCACGGCUAACUACGUG